Molecule: long non-coding RNA, 1340 nt
Organism: Mobula hypostoma (lesser devil ray)
Lineage: Eukaryota; Metazoa; Chordata; Chondrichthyes; Myliobatiformes; Myliobatidae
Exons: 3
Source: RefSeq, a predicted model, not a curated record
UCCUGUUGCACACUUCAAGUCAGCAACUACAUCUUGAAAAGUACUGUACAAUCUUACAUCCUUGUAAAGUCAAACUUUGCUGGAGAACUACACAAUGCUUUGAGAAAAGAGGCAGAUUUUCUUUCCACUUGUUUGAAAUUUUGAUUGAGUUGUGUGCCAACAGCCUAGAAAACUGUGCAGUUACCCAGAGCAACGGCACCACAUGGAGUGCAGCAAACACCGCAGCAAGUCAAAAUUUCCAGGAAAGCAAUCUUUCUUUAUGGGUUAAUCAGUUUUGAGCAAUACAAUGUGGACUUCCAGCUGGCAUCCAUUUCACCAGUAAUGGAUGAACGCUGAGGAAAUGGUCUUUUGUUGAAAUGAUGGAUGUGAUCAAGGAUGAAAGACUGAGGAUUUAGCUUUGAGACAGACCAUGUCACUGCUGCUGGAGAGAGAGUACAACAGCCUGUGUGUAUUGAUGCAUGACUCUGAGUGUGCGUUUCAUGAGGCUGCAACUUCAGCUGGAAUCUAAGUGGAAAAAUUCAGUGAGGCAUUCAGUAAGAAAAGAGAUGCAUCUGUGGAGUUAAGUUUAGUAAAUAUCUUAACAACAAGGGAGAAAACAGAAAGCAAUGAAAAGUGAGCAUUAAUAAGAGAGAAAUGCAAAUUGCAUGCGAUAGAGGAACUAUGUUUCUUUCGUGUGGGAAUUCCUGGAAAAGAAGAGGCAGUAAUUUAAUAGUGAUCCAAAAAGAAAAUACUACAAGUGUGGGGAAUUUGAAACAAAAUACUGGAAAUACUCAGAAAGCAUCUUUUUUAAAAAUUUUGUUUUAUCCUCCUGAUUUGGACAUUCCUGGUAAAGCCAUACUUGCCUCUGAACUGAGAGGGUAAUUAUGGGUCCAGCACAUUGAUUGGUCUGGAGUCAGCCAAGCCAGAAUGACAGCAGUCCUUCCUUGAAGGAUAAAGGAGAACUAAUCGCCAUCUUGUAGUUUCAUGUUUAUAAUUAAUGUAUCCAGUUGUUUUUUUUUAUUUUUCAACUCCAGAUUUAUUGAAUCACUUGAAUUAAAAUAUCCCAGUUACUACUGUAGGAUUUGAACUUGCUUCUCUCGAUCAUUGAUCCAAUAGCCUUGCCAGUAACUUAACUACUGUCAACAAUCUAGGUCAAUGACUACAAUUAGGCUGUUAUUUUUUGACAUUUGAAAAGAAAGGGUAAAAAGUCUUACAUUAAAAUUUUUGAUGUGGCAAAGAAUGUACUGGCAACCUGAAAACAUUAACUCUCGUUUCUUUCUCUACAGAUGUUGCCUAAACUCCUGAGCAUUUCCAGCAUAUAUCAUUUUUAUAAUGUAAUAUAAUUUCCUAAAUUUGAAAAC